This 117-nucleotide ribosomal RNA is filed under the name uncultured bacterium. RNAcentral describes it as "partial 16S ribosomal RNA". It matches the Rfam family "Bacterial small subunit ribosomal RNA", at positions 1369 to 1482 of the family's 1533-position model. The record is from RNAcentral.
CGUUCCCGGGCCUUGUACGCACCGCCCGUCACGUCACGAAAGUCGGUAACACCCGAAGCCGGUGGCCCAACCCCUUGUGGGAGGGAGCUGUCGAAGGUGGGACUGGCGAUUGGGACG